RNAcentral lists this ribosomal RNA (753 nucleotides) under Streptococcus equinus. Its description in RNAcentral is "bacterial SSU rRNA". It matches the Rfam family "Bacterial small subunit ribosomal RNA", at positions 20 to 756 of the family's 1533-position model. The record is from RNAcentral. Lineage: Bacteria; Bacillati; Bacillota; Bacilli; Lactobacillales; Streptococcaceae.
UGGCUCAGGACGAACGCUGGCGGCGUGCCUAAUACAUGCAAGUAGAACGCUGAAGACUUUAGCUUGCUAAAGUUGGAAGAGUUGCGAACGGGUGAGUAACGCGUAGGUAACCUGCCUACUAGCGGGGGAUAACUAUUGGAAACGAUAGCUAAUACCGCAUAACAGCAUUUAACCCAUGUUAGAUGCUUGAAAGGAGCAAUUGCUUCACUAGUAGAUGGACCUGCGUUGUAUUAGCUAGUUGGUGAGGUAACGGCUCACCAAGGCGACGAUACAUAGCCGACCUGAGAGGGUGAUCGGCCACACUGGGACUGAGACACGGCCCAGACUCCUACGGGAGGCAGCAGUAGGGAAUCUUCGGCAAUGGGGGCAACCCUGACCGAGCAACGCCGCGUGAGUGAAGAAGGUUUUCGGAUCGUAAAGCUCUGUUGUAAGAGAAGAACGUGUGUGAGAGUGGAAAGUUCACACAGUGACGGUAACUUACCAGAAAGGGACGGCUAACUACGUGCCAGCAGCCGCGGUAAUACGUAGGUCCCGAGCGUUGUCCGGAUUUAUUGGGCGUAAAGCGAGCGCAGGCGGUUUAAUAAGUCUGAAGUUAAAGGCAGUGGCUUAACCAUUGUUCGCUUUGGAAACUGUUAGACUUGAGUGCAGAAGGGGAGAGUGGAAUUCCAUGUGUAGCGGUGAAAUGCGUAGAUAUAUGGAGGAACACCGGUGGCGAAAGCGGCUCUCUGGUCUGUAACUGACGCUGAGGCUCGA